Molecule: ribosomal RNA, 542 nt
Filed under: uncultured bacterium
Lineage: Bacteria
Description: bacterial SSU rRNA
Rfam family: Bacterial small subunit ribosomal RNA
Source: RNAcentral
CUCCUACGGGUGGCUGCAGUGGGGAAUUUUGGACAAUGGGGGAAACCCUGGUCCAGCCAUGCCGCGUGCGGGAAGAAGGCCUUCGGGUUGUAAACCGCUUUUGUCAGGGAAGAAAUCCUUUGGGUUAAUACCUCGGAGGGAUGACGGUACCUGAAGAAUAAGCACCGGCUAACUACGUGCCAGCAGCCGCGGUAAUACGUAGGGUGCGAGCGUUAAUCGGAAUUACUGGGCGUAAAGCGUGCGCAGGCGGUUUUGUAAGAUCGAUGUGAAAUCCCCGGGCUCAACCUGGGAACUGCAUUGGUGACUGCAAGGCUGGAGUGCGGCAGAGGGGGAUGGAAUUCCGCGUGUAGCAGUGAAAUGCGUAGAUAUGCGGAGGAACACCGAUGGCGAAGGCAAUCCCCUGGGCCUGCACUGACGCUCAUGCACGAAAGCGUGGGGAGCAAACAGGAUUAGAUACCCUGGUAGUCCACGCCCUAAACGAUGUCGACUAGUUGUUGGACGGCUUGCUGUUCAGUAACGUAGCUAACGCGUGAAGUCGACCG